This 362-nucleotide RNase P RNA is filed under the name Acidimicrobiaceae bacterium. RNAcentral's name for it is "RNase P RNA component class A". It matches the Rfam family "Bacterial RNase P class A". Rfam says of the family: Ribonuclease P (RNase P) is a ubiquitous endoribonuclease, found in archaea, bacteria and eukarya as well as chloroplasts and mitochondria. Its best characterised activity is the generation of mature 5'-ends of tRNAs by cleaving the 5'-leader elements of precursor-tRNAs. The record is from RNAcentral. Lineage: Bacteria; Bacillati; Actinomycetota; Acidimicrobiia; Acidimicrobiales; Acidimicrobiaceae.
UGAGUCGACAAGGUGGCCGCGGUACGGUUUAUCUGUACUGAGGAAGGUCGGGGCUCCAUAGGACAGAAUGCUGGCUAACAGCCAGUCGGGGCAACCCGAAGGAAAGUGCCACAGAGAAUAGACCGCCGAUGGUUACCUCUUUUAGAGAUAACACAGGUAAGGGUGAAACGGUGCGGUAAGAGCGCACCAGCGGUUAAGGAGACUUAAUCGGCUAGGUAAACCCCAUUCGGAGCAAGGCCAAAUAAUGGAGAGGGCGGUCCGUCCGUAGACACUCCAAGGUGGGCUGCAUAGAUGGAUGGUCACCCAUUCGGAUUUCCGCGAGGAGCCGAGGGACAGAACCCCGCCUACUGUCGACUCACCAU